Molecule: ribosomal RNA, 774 nt
Filed under: uncultured Marmoricola sp.
Lineage: Bacteria; Bacillati; Actinomycetota; Actinomycetes; Propionibacteriales; Nocardioidaceae
Description: bacterial SSU rRNA
Rfam family: Bacterial small subunit ribosomal RNA
Source: RNAcentral
AGAGUUUGAUCCUGGCUCAGGACGAACGCUGGCGGCGUGCUUAACACAUGCAAGUCGAGCGGUAAGGCCCCUUCGGGGGUACACGAGCGGCGAACGGGUGAGUAACACGUGAGCAAUCUGCCCAUCACAUCGGGAUAACUUCGGGAAACCGAAGCUAAUACCGAAUACGACCACUUCAGGCAUCUGACGGUGGUGGAAAGUUCCGGCGGUGAUGGAUGAGCUCGCGGCCUAUCAGCUUGUUGGUGGGGUAAUGGCCCACCAAGGCUUCGACGGGUAGCCGGCCUGAGAGGGUGACCGGCCACACUGGGACUGAGACACGGCCCAGACUCCUACGGGAGGCAGCAGUGGGGAAUAUUGGACAAUGGGCGAAAGCCUGAUCCAGCAACGCCGCGUGAGGGAUGACGGCCUUCGGGUUGUAAACCUCUUUCAGCAGGGACGAAGCGCAAGUGACGGUACCUGCAGAAGAAGCACCGGCCAACUACGUGCCAGCAGCCGCGGUAAUACGUAGGGUGCAAGCGUUGUCCGGAAUUAUUGGGCGUAAAGGGCUCGUAGGCGGUUUGUCGCGUCGGGAGUGAAAACUCAGGGCUUAACCCUGAGCCUGCUUCCGAUACGGGCAGACUAGAGGUAUGCAGGGGAGAAUGGAAUUCCUGGUGUAGCGGUGAAAUGCGCAGAUAUCGGGAGGAACACCAGUAGCGAAGGCGGCUCGCUGGGCCACACCUGACGCUGAGACGCGAAAGCUAGGGGAGCGAACAGGAUUAGAUACCCCCGUAGUCC